Molecule: non-coding RNA, 222 nt
Organism: Pelobates cultripes (western spadefoot toad)
Lineage: Eukaryota; Metazoa; Chordata; Amphibia; Anura; Pelobatidae
Source: the annotation of a GenBank genome assembly
CUCCUUUUUAUCUUAUAUUCGCUCCUUUAGGAAUGUAUAUUCCAGUAGGGUAGAUAUGAUGCCUAAAUACGGUUUGGUAACAGCUGUUCAGUUGCAGCAGCCAGGAGACCUCCAAAGUACACAGGAAGAUUGGAGGUUACAUGUGGGUUCCAGAGAAGAAUGACUGGGCUGCUUAUAUUGUGCAUUGAACAGUAGGAGCCAGCAGAAAGAAAUUGGUAAAAG